GGUUUGGUGGUCUAGUGGUAUGAUUCUCGCUUAGGGCAAACCCUACAGUUGAUUUGCGAGAGGUCCCGGGUUCAAUCCCCGGCCAAACCC
This 90-nucleotide transfer RNA is filed under the name Annulohypoxylon stygium. Its description in RNAcentral is "tRNA-Pro". It matches the Rfam family "tRNA". From Rfam's summary of the family: Transfer RNA (tRNA) molecules are approximately 80 nucleotides in length. Their secondary structure includes four short double-helical elements and three loops (D, anti-codon, and T loops). Further hydrogen bonds mediate the characteristic L-shaped molecular structure. tRNAs have two regions of fundamental functional importance: the anti-codon, which is responsible for specific mRNA codon recognition, and the 3' end, to which the tRNAs corresponding amino acid is attached (by aminoacyl-tRNA synthetases). tRNAs cope with the degeneracy of the genetic code in two manners: having more than one tRNA (with a specific anti-codon) for a particular amino acid; and 'wobble' base-pairing, i.e. permitting non-standard base-pairing at the 3rd anti-codon position. Lineage: Eukaryota; Fungi; Ascomycota; Sordariomycetes; Xylariales; Hypoxylaceae. The record is from RNAcentral.